CCUACGGGAGGCAGCAGUAGGGAAUCUUUCACAAUGUGCGAAAGCCUGAUGGAGCAACGCCGCGUGCAGGAUGAAGGCCUUCGGGUUGUAAACUGCUUUUAUAAGCGAGGAAUAUGAUGGUAACUUAUGAAUAAGUAUCGGCUAACUACGUGCCAGCAGCCGCGGUCAUACGUAGGAUCCGAGAAUUAUCCGGAGUGACUGGGUGUAAAGAGUUGCGUAUGUGGCAUAAUAAGUAGCUAGUGAAAUCUGGUGGCUCAACCAUUCAGACUAUUAGCUAAACUGUUCAGCUCGAGACCGUUAGGGGUAACUGGAAUUUCUAGUGUAGGAGUGAAAUCCGUAGAUAUUAGAAGGAACACCAAUAGCGUAGGCAGGUUGCUGGGACGGUUCUGACACUAAGGCACGAAAGCGUAGGGAGCAAACGGGAUUAGAUACCCCUGUAGUC
This 442-nucleotide ribosomal RNA is filed under the name uncultured bacterium. RNAcentral describes it as "partial 16S ribosomal RNA". It matches the Rfam family "Bacterial small subunit ribosomal RNA", at positions 338 to 795 of the family's 1533-position model. The record is from RNAcentral.